UAACAUAAAAUUGAGAAUGGAAAUGGGGAAUGUGCCAAAGAGACAACAACCCGACCAUAGAAAAAAAAAAACAAAAAACAAAACAACACAACAGCAGAAGGUCACCAACAGGUCUUCAAUGUAGCGAGAAAUUCCAGCACCCGGAGGCGUCCUUCAACUGGCCCCUAAACAAAUAUAUACUAGUUCAGUGAUAAUGAACGCCAUACUAAUUUCCAAAUUGUACACAA
RNAcentral lists this long non-coding RNA (227 nucleotides) under Mytilus galloprovincialis (Mediterranean mussel). Lineage: Eukaryota; Metazoa; Mollusca; Bivalvia; Mytilida; Mytilidae. The record is from RNAcentral.